UAAAAAUCCUGUCAUAUUGAUUUGACCCCUACAGUUGCUUUUUUUCCUGUUCUGUGAACAACAUGCUCACUUCUUGGCAGAGGUCAGAAUUAGUCUGACAGUUCCAUCAGCAAAAGCAUCCCAUUAACUUCAGCUUUCCAGUCUUACUUUAUUUUUAGAAGAUUAAUAUAUUAGCAGAAAUUUACAACAAGCAUUACAUUUUGAUUAUUCUAAGCUUGAGCCUACGGGCAGCACAGCCUGCCUUGUUGUUUUGGAAUAUUCUCUCCUUAACAUGCGUCUAAGAACACCACUGGCAUGAAGAGCAUCACUUCUGCAUAAAGCUAAAGCCCGUUUUGAUUCAUUUUUAGGUUAUAUUGGCUUGUGGGCUUGUUUGUUUGUUGUUCUUUGGUUGGUGAGGUUUUAGGUUUCCUUGUACGGUUGUUCUGCUAUCUUUAUUUCAGGGCCAGUUUGUGUGCUCACACGUAUGUACGCAUGUGUGUAUAAAUAAGCUUCUAAAUUAUUUUAAAGGGUCAAGAUACAUAUGGGUGUAAGUGCUUUAGGACUAGAAGGUCACUAAUGCAGAUUGUGUAGCUGACGAGGCAACAUUUGCAACUGCCACAAGCUCCUCCGCGGACCUGACGACCGGCGGUCACACAGGUGGCUGUCUGCCCUCCCUUGCAGCUCCCCAUUCCUGGUGGUUUGCUCACCAACACGAGGUGCAACCAACACUUUGCCUAAGAGGUUCCCGCAGUUCCAAACACAGUGGGGCCCAGAGGUGCCCCCCAGCUAUCUCCUUUCCCCACAGGCUGUAUGCUGAGGGCUGGACGCUGCACUGCAGACCCGUUCUGCCACCGAGCUGCGUACGUUGCCUCCAAUGCCCUCUGCAGUGCUGAGGUCGUUUAAAAAGGAGAAGGAAGAAAAGAAAAUUGUACCCUAAAAGUUGCCAUGGAGUAGCAGUCCAGUCUGGCUUAAUGUGAGCUGAAGCAAAGAAAAAGGUGGUUCCCCUCCACUUAAGGGAGUGCCUGUUGAGGCUGAAGAAGCCUGUAUUUGGCUGCAGAAGCUAUUUUUCCAGCUUGUCUGCAGACCCAACACUUCAUCAAGUCUUCAUCACUCAAGGACUAAAAAGCUUAAAUUCUGCAGCACUGCAACCAGUCUCUAAGAAAAAAGUUAUUGCUGUUGUCUUGGACAAACUCAAGUCCCUGUCCCCCACUUCAAGAAAAAAAAAGGAAGUUCAAAAUAAAGGUCACUCCUCUUUGUAUUUACAUUUUUUUAAAAACCUUUAUCACAUGUACUGCUUCUCAAGCAAUACUGUUUAUUUCAGUGAUAUCAAAUGUGGAGCAGACAGCCCUGUGAUGCUCAGAGGAAUCGGUGUCAGCGGAUCAGACAGCCUACGAGGGGCCGUGGCUCCUUCCCAUGUGGCAGGGUCGGCCGAGGCUCGGCACAACACAAACCCUCUUGGAAAGGGCCAUGCUGCACAGUGUGCAUCCCGGGGAGCAGGGGCUUCCUUCUUCGGGCCGCCGUAAGGAGAAGUCAUGGUGCUGCUGGCGGGGAAGAAAGUGUCAGGAAGAG
This is a long non-coding RNA of Cygnus olor (mute swan), 1548 nucleotides long. RefSeq lists it as uncharacterized. NCBI's taxonomy places the organism in Eukaryota, Metazoa, Chordata, Aves, Anseriformes, Anatidae. The record is from RefSeq and is a predicted model, not a curated record. The transcript has 2 exons.